UCAGGAUGAACGCUAGCGAUAGGCUUAACACAUGCAGGUCGAGGGGCAGCACUGGUUAUCGGCAACGGUAUCCUGGUGGCGACCGGCGCACGGGUGAGUAACACGUAUGCAACCUACCCUUAACCGGGGGAUAACCCGGGGAAAUCCGGGCUAAUACCCCAUGAGACGGCAUCAUCGCCUGAUGUUACCGUUAAAGAUUGAUCGGUUUUGGAUGGGCAUGCGUUCCAUUAGCUCGUUGGUGGGGUAACGGCCCACCAAGGCCACGAUGGAUAGGGGAACUGAGAGGUUCAUCCCCCACACUGGAACUGAGACACGGUCCAGACUCCUACGGGAGGCAGCAGUGAGGAAUCUUGGUCAAUGGAGGCAACUCUGAACCAGCCACGUCGCGUGAAGGAGGAAGGCCUUACGGGUCGUAAACUUCUUUUUCGGGGGAAUAAACGGGGUCACGCGUGGCCCCCUGCAUGUACCCCGCGAACAAGGAUCGGCUAAC
RNAcentral lists this ribosomal RNA (490 nucleotides) under uncultured bacterium. RNAcentral describes it as "bacterial SSU rRNA". It matches the Rfam family "Bacterial small subunit ribosomal RNA", at positions 24 to 501 of the family's 1533-position model. The record is from RNAcentral.